AGCAGCCGCGGUAAUUCCAGCUCCAAUAGCGUAUAUUAAAGUUGUUGCAGUUAAAAAGCUCGUAGUUGAAUUUCGGGGUCAGUAGGUUGGUCAUGCCACUGGUAUGUACUGGUCUCACUGAUUCCUCCUUCCUGAUGAACUGUAAUGCCAUUAAUUUGGUGUUGCAGGGAAUCUGGACUGUUACUUUGAAGAAAUUAGAGUGUUUAAAGCAGGCUAACGCCUGAAUACAUUAGCAUGGAAUAAUGAAAUAGGACGUUUGAUUCUAUUUUGUUGGUUUCUAGGAUCGACGUAAUGAUUAAUAGGGAUAGCUGGGGGCAUUAGUAUUCAAUUGUCAGAGGUGAAAUUCUUGGAUUUAUUGAAGACUAACUACUGCGAAAGCAUUUGCCAAGGAUGUUUUCAUUAAUCAAGAACGAAAGUUAGGGGAUCGAAGACGAUCAGAUACCGUCGUAGUCUUAACCAUAAACUAUGCCGACUAGGGAUCGGAUGAUGUUAAUUUUUAAUGUA
Molecule: ribosomal RNA, 504 nt
Filed under: uncultured Glomus
Lineage: Eukaryota; Fungi; Glomeromycota; Glomeromycetes; Glomerales; Glomeraceae
Description: SSU rRNA
Rfam family: Eukaryotic small subunit ribosomal RNA
Source: RNAcentral